GCGGGUGUGGCGGAAUGGCAGACGCGGUGGACUCAAAAUCCACUAAUGGCAACAUUGUGGGGGUUCAAGUCCCUUCACCCGCA
Molecule: transfer RNA, 83 nt
Filed under: Clostridiales bacterium
Lineage: Bacteria; Bacillati; Bacillota; Clostridia; Eubacteriales
Description: tRNA-Leu
Rfam family: tRNA
About the family: Transfer RNA (tRNA) molecules are approximately 80 nucleotides in length.
Source: RNAcentral